AUGAGCUCAUCUUCCAAGACUCUCUCCGGCCACGAAUAUUCCAUGAUUUGCAACGACGUGACAAUGAAUACCGGAGAGGGUUUAGAGAGAAGGAUACGAAGGUGUGGUGUGGUUGAUGAAAUUACAAAGUCAAUCAAUUCAGUGAUGUUCUUGAAGUCGAUGCAGCGAGUUAAAGCUAUCUGA
This is a non-coding RNA of Vicia faba (fava bean), 183 nucleotides long. Lineage: Eukaryota; Viridiplantae; Streptophyta; Magnoliopsida; Fabales; Fabaceae. The record is from the annotation of a GenBank genome assembly.